RNAcentral lists this ribosomal RNA (253 nucleotides) under uncultured bacterium. RNAcentral's name for it is "partial 16S ribosomal RNA". It matches the Rfam family "Bacterial small subunit ribosomal RNA", at positions 524 to 776 of the family's 1533-position model. The record is from RNAcentral.
UACGGAGGGAGCUAGCGUUGUUCGGAAUUACUGGGCGUAAAGCGCGUGUAGGCGGCCCUGCAAGUCGGAUGUGAAAUCCCACGGCUCAACCGUGGAAGUGCAUUCGAAACUGCAGGGCUAGAGUCCUGGAGAGGAAGGUGGAAUGCUUGGUGUAGAGGUGAAAUUCGUAGAUAUCAAGCGGAACACCGGUGGCGAAGGCGGCCUUCUGGACAGUGACUGACGCUGAGACGCGAAAGCGUGGGGAGCAAACAGG